RNAcentral lists this ribosomal RNA (409 nucleotides) under uncultured Halorubrum sp. RNAcentral describes it as "bacterial SSU rRNA". It matches the Rfam family "Archaeal small subunit ribosomal RNA", at positions 343 to 751 of the family's 1478-position model. The record is from RNAcentral. Lineage: Archaea; Methanobacteriati; Methanobacteriota; Halobacteria; Halobacteriales; Haloferacaceae.
GAAACCUUUACACUGCACGCCAGUGCGAUAAGGGGAUCCCAAGUGCGUAGGCAUAGAGCCUACGCUUUUGUCCACCCUAGGGUGGUGGACGAAUAAGGGCUGGGCAAGACCGGUGCCAGCCGCCGCGGUAAUACCGGCAGCCCGAGUGAUGGCCGAUCUUAUUGGGCCUAAAGCGUCCGUAGCUGGCCGCACAAGUCCAUCGGGAAAUCCACCUGCUCAACAGGUGGGCGUCCGGUGGAAACUGUGUGGCUUGGGACCGGAAGGCGCGACGGGUACGUCCGGGGUAGGAGUGAAAUCCUGUAAUCCUGGACGGACCGCCGAUGGCGAAAGCACGUCGCGAAAACGGAUCCGACAGUGAGGGACGAAAGCUAGGGUCUCGAACCGGAUUAGAUACCCGGGUAGUCCUAGC